RNAcentral lists this ribosomal RNA (329 nucleotides) under uncultured eukaryote. Its description in RNAcentral is "partial 18S ribosomal RNA". It matches the Rfam family "Eukaryotic small subunit ribosomal RNA", at positions 1470 to 1796 of the family's 1831-position model. The record is from RNAcentral.
CCCUUAGAUGUUCUGGGCCGCAUGCGCGCUACACUGAUGCAUUCAACGAGUCUAAAACCUGCUCUGAUAGGGGUGGGUAAUCUUUUGAAUGUGCAUCGUGAUUGGGAUAGAUGAUUGCAAUUUUUCAUCUUCAACGAGGAAUGCCUAGUAAACGCAAGUCAUCAGCUUGCAUUGAUUACGUCCCUGCCCUUUGUACACACCGCCCGUCGCUCCUACCGAUUGAAUGAUCCGAUGAAUAUCAUGGAUUGAGGAUGCAAGUAGGUUAGCCUAUCUUCAUCUUCGAGAAGUGAAGUAAAUCUUAUCAUUUAGAGGAAGGAGAAGUCGUAACA